RNAcentral lists this ribosomal RNA (497 nucleotides) under uncultured bacterium. Its description in RNAcentral is "partial 16S ribosomal RNA". It matches the Rfam family "Bacterial small subunit ribosomal RNA", at positions 28 to 507 of the family's 1533-position model. The record is from RNAcentral.
GAUGAACGCUGGCGGCGUGCCUAAUACAUGCCAGUCGAGCGAACGGACGAGAAGCUUGCUUCUCUGAUGUUAGCGGCGGACGGGUGAGUAACACGUGGAUAACCUACCUAUAAGACUGGGAUAACUUCGGGAAACCGGAGCUAAUACCGGAUAAUAUUUUGAACCGCAUGGUUCAAAAGUGAAAGACGGUCUUGCUGUCACUUAUAGAUGGAUCCGCGCUGCAUUAGCUAGUUGGUAAGGUAACGGCUUACCAAGGCAACGAUGCAUAGCCGACCUGAGAGGGUGAUCGGCCACACUGGAACUGAGACACGGUCCAGACUCCUACGGGAGGCAGCAGUAGGGAAUCUUCCGCAAUGGGCGAAAGCCUGACGGAGCAACGCCGCGUGAGUGAUGAAGGUCUUCGGAUCGUAAAACUCUGUUAUUAGGGAAGAACAUACGUGUAAGUAACUGUGCACAUCUUGACGGUACCUAAUCAGAAAGCCACGGCUAACUACGUG